Molecule: long non-coding RNA, 1942 nt
Organism: Zingiber officinale
Lineage: Eukaryota; Viridiplantae; Streptophyta; Magnoliopsida; Zingiberales; Zingiberaceae
Exons: 2
Source: RefSeq, a predicted model, not a curated record
AUUCAGGCAUCCAAGGGAUUAUGUGGAUUGUGGUUUGUGUUUCUCAUCCUACUAUUUUUCCCCUCUAUACCAACUUGAGCGGAAAUGAAAACCAAGCUGCAACAAGUAAAAUUUCUUCAUUUGGCGUGAGUUGCUUCUUUCCGACCGAUCCUUCGUUUCUUUGUAGUGUACCGAAGUCAAUUGAUUAACUGAAGAAUCACAAGUUUGCUGGUUGCCUCGUUCAAUUGAAUUACCCCGAGAAUCACAAGUCAACUGGUUCGAUUGAAAUUGGUAAAUCCAAACACAUAAUGAGAUAUCUCACCAUCUCUUGCUAAUAUAACGUGGUAGUGGGAGCCGUAGAAGAGUGCACAAAGACUCUCAUACUACCAAGUAUUAAAUCUAGUCGUUAAAUCUAGAAUCUAAAGCUAGUUUCUAAUAACCUUAAGAAGAUUGCUACCUACAAGAACUUCACAAAUAAAAAUGAGACCUUCACUUUUUGAUCCCCAAGCUCCUUGGUAUUUUUUGUAUUUGAGAGAUCUAACACAAGUGUUUGCAUUAGGAUCACAAGCGUGCGGCAAAAAAAUGUUAUUAUCAAGGACAUUCAAAGAUACAAGCUGGGAAAUCCCAGGACAUUUCAUUAUCUUAACUAGUCCAACUGUUAUCAGCUCGGUGGGUAGAUGAUUCCAAGAAUAUCUGGAAACUAAAAAAGCUAAGGACAUCAAUUCUGAUGAACAGGAUGGUUGUCUGGCUCACCUGACAGAGGCAAAAGAAAGCCCAUAUACACAUUUUUGCACUUUUCCCGCCCUUUAUUGUUUAUUAUGUAUGAUUUGUUCACUAUGCAAUUUUUCGAGGGGUCAAGCUCUUGGUACUUGAUGGUACCGGGAUUAUUUUCCGAAUGGCCGGUCGAGAAUUCGAGCACCCCCGAAUACCUCAACUGGCUAGGCUCAAUUCCCGAAUACAAGAUAUUAUCUCCGGGCUUAAUUCUUGAAUAUCGAGUGUUGUUGGUAGACAUUUCCAAAUAUUGGAUGCUAUCUUCAGGUGUAUCUCCGCGAGUACCUACUAUAGCCUUCGGGUAAAUAAUCCUGAACGCUAAAGAGCAAUAUUGCUCAGGUAAGCUACUGUUCAGAUUAUGACUUCCAAUCAUAGAGAUUUCAUUUGUUAGACUUGGUUCCUUGAUCACCUUCCAAUAAACAAGUGGUGCCUCGUGAAGGGAGAGACUUUUAGUGGUUGUCAUAUUUGGUCCCUGAUUGCCUUCCUAUGAGAACGUGGCGUCUUAUGAAUGAAGACCCUUCUAACGGGAGUCUGAUCCGAUCCCCUUAUCGACCUUCAUGGGAUGGCUUCCAUGUCAGCCUAUGUGGAGAUGCUUUUCCACACAGGCACCAUAAAAGGUACGUGAGAGUGAUUAAUUUGAGCAUCGAAGUGGUCACAUAGGUAGAGAUGGCCAAGCCCUAACAUUCUUUUCCUCUCAAGUCAUCUGAUCCUAUUGGAGAUCUGCAGAGAUGACGCGUUGGGCAUGGUGAAUAGAUGAUUGACCAACAAAAGACCUUUUUCUCCCAAAAGAAGUUUUCCUUCGAUCCCGCGCAUAAGGAAACGAGCCAACAAAACGUCAAUGCCUAGAAACCAAGGAGAGUCACGGGCGAAGGCCAUGCGACGCUCAAGUCAGUAUCGAUCUGAACAGGUGGUUGAAGAACAGUAAGAACGCGCACGCGAGAGUAAGUUGUAGAUGUUUGGUGAGCGUACCUUUGUCGUGGAGAGGACUCCUCUUUAAUAUACCAUCUCACAUAACAUCCGCAAUUAUGAGGUCACAACAUAUGUCAGAGGUUGUUAGGUAAGGAAGAGGGUACAACCGAGGAGAUGUGAUGUAAUCGUCCAAGGAAUCUUUCGCUGAUCCAAAUGUAUACCUUUCUUGUUGUUUAUAGUUUUUGUUAUCAAUGAGGUUAAUGAAAAACAUAUGUUGUUAUAA